RNAcentral lists this ribosomal RNA (234 nucleotides) under uncultured bacterium. RNAcentral's name for it is "partial 16S ribosomal RNA". It matches the Rfam family "Bacterial small subunit ribosomal RNA", at positions 118 to 351 of the family's 1533-position model. The record is from RNAcentral.
UGAGUAACCUGCCCUUAACUCUGGGAUAAGCCUGGGAAACUGGGCCUAAUACCGGAUAUGACUCCUCAUCGCAUGGUGGGGGGUGGAAAGCUUUUUUGUGGUUUUGGAUGGACUCGCGGCCUAUCAGCUUGUUGGUGAGGUAAUGGCUCACCAAGGCGACGACGGGUAGCCGGCCUGAGAGGGUGACCGGCCACACUGGGACUGAGACACGGCCCAGACUCCUACGGGAGGCAG